UACGGAGGGUGCGAGCGUUAAUCGGAAUUACUGGGCGUAAAGCGCGCGUAGGUGGUCAAGCCAGUCGGAUGUGAAAGCCCCGGGCUCAACCUGGGAAUGGCAUUCGAUACUACUUGGCUAGAGUCUGGUAGAGGAAAGCGGAAUUCCCGGUGUAGCGGUGAAAUGCGUAGAUAUCGGGAAGAACACCAGUGGCGAAGGCGGCUUUCUGGACUAAGACUGACACUGAGGCGCGAAAGCGUGGGUAGCAAACAGG
This 253-nucleotide ribosomal RNA is filed under the name uncultured bacterium. Its description in RNAcentral is "partial 16S ribosomal RNA". It matches the Rfam family "Bacterial small subunit ribosomal RNA", at positions 524 to 776 of the family's 1533-position model. The record is from RNAcentral.